AUGAACGCUGGCGGCGUGCCUAAUACAUCCAAGUCGAGCGAACGGACGAGAAGCUUGCUUCUCUGAUGUUAGCGGCGGACGGGUUAGUAACACGUGGAUAACCUACCUAUAAGACUGGGAUAACUUCGGGAAACCGGAGCUAAUACCGGAUAAUAUUUUGAACCGCCUGGUUCAAAAGUGAAAGACGGUCUUGCUGUCACUUAUAGAUGGAUCCGCGCUGCAUUAGCUAGUUGGUAAGGUAACGGCUUACCAAGGCAACGAUGCAUAGCCGACCUGAGAGGGUGAUCGGCCACACUGGAACUGAGACACGGUCCAGACUCCUACGGGAGGCAGCAGUAGUGAAUCUUCCGCAAUGGGCGAAAGCCUGACGGAGCAACGCCGCGUGAGUGAUGAAGGUCUUCGGAUCGUAAAACUCUGUUAUUAGGGAAGAACAUAUGUGUAAGUAACUGUGCACAUCUUGACGGUACCUAAUCAGAAAGCCACGGCUAACUACGUG
RNAcentral lists this ribosomal RNA (496 nucleotides) under uncultured bacterium. RNAcentral describes it as "partial 16S ribosomal RNA". It matches the Rfam family "Bacterial small subunit ribosomal RNA", at positions 29 to 507 of the family's 1533-position model. The record is from RNAcentral.